This is a long non-coding RNA of Bombus terrestris (buff-tailed bumblebee), 1445 nucleotides long. RefSeq lists it as uncharacterized. NCBI's taxonomy places the organism in Eukaryota, Metazoa, Arthropoda, Insecta, Hymenoptera, Apidae. The transcript is spliced from 3 exons. The record is from RefSeq and is a predicted model, not a curated record.
AUGUAAUAUUGUAUUUAGGUUUAAUUCGUUACUUAAUCGGUUGAAAGUUCGAUUAACUGUUAUCACGAUACCCGACUACUUGCGCUUUCCUGCUCUUCGUAUUAAAAUUUCGGAAAACGCGAUGUUACGAUAAAAUGCAAAAUUCUUCGGAUAAUACGAAACUUUGAAGGUUGCAUCGUCUUCGUAUUCUUUAGAUUCUUCCAGAUGAUUCUUGCGGGAAACGAUAGAAAAAGAAUAAAUUACCUAAAUGUCAACGCGACUUAAUAAAAGCUGUCGUGAUGCGAGAUUCACGUCGUUGUUGUUAAAGCAGAUAAACACAACGCGCUCCAAAGUUACAGAAGUACAUAUCGUGAUGCGAAAUUUCUCUACAUGGCUAUUUACGUAUAAAUAAAUAAAGUUUUUGCAACCAGUGUAAGCACAUAAGCGACCAAUCAGGGAAAUACAGUCGCGCUAUAAAUAGCUUUCAAAAGUGUAUGAUAUUUAAGUAUAUAAUAUUUGCCGACCUAAUAUGAAACAGCGAAGGCGAAGAACGACUCGAAUCACAACAGGUUGACACACCACUUUUUCUCGAAAGAGCGGAACGAACGUGUCGAACACCAAAACGAAGAUGGCACACUGUUUCGAAACGUCUAUAAAGAAAAAAGGAGAUUGUAUCGCGACUUUUGGCUCUUUCGUGAAGAAGAAGAAAACCAGAAAACCGAAAAGCAUCGGUCACUAAGCCCGGUACCUGGCGAAAUGUCACGUUCGAUACCGCGUGUAACGCUUCCUUGCCGCCUCGAGUUUCUAUUUCCACCUUAAAGGAUCUUACACCUGAGCGCUGGAGAGACCCAACUAAAUGUUAAGCCCUUGAACUACAAUCUAUCGGAGCUUUGUGAAAUUCCUCAAAACCUGCUGCAACCUGGUCUUUGUCGCGUGCAGUUAAUGUAAGAUUCACCAAUAAUCGCUUGUAAUUCGUCGAUCGAGUAGUUCGGUAUAGAAACUUUUCCACCGCUGUGUUGCUUCGGUGCUAUUAUCCGCAUCCCGUAUCAGGAUUUGAUUUUUUCAUCGCUCUGCCAGAGACUUCAAUAGUCUUGAGACACUCUUUUUCCUUACGAGACACUACGCUACGUUUUUCUCUUGGCUUUUGUUUGCGGAUGACAAAUGAGGUGCUCAAGUAAGAAAAUAUUUGUUAUUUAUUGUCGAAUAAUACGCUUUUCGUUUAUUCAUCGAUCAAGUACUACAACGUGAUAACGUAACGUGAUAACGUAAGUAUCUCAACGAAAAUGUUGCAGUAUAAUAUGGAUCGUCCGUGUGGCACUGUCUUCUUAGAUAUCGCUGAUACUUUUAAUAGAGCGAAAUGGUUUAAUAGGAGAGAUUCACCGAAACUUAUUCCUAUUAUCAAUGGGAAUUUUAACAAUUUAUAUGCGAACGAAAAAUUAAGUUGAAAUAUUUUUUUCUGCCUUAUA